AUUGAACGCUGGCGGCAUGCUUUACACAUGCAAGUCGAACGGCAGCGCGGGCUUCGGCCUGGCGGCGAGUGGCGAACGGGUGAGUAAUACAUCGGAACGUGCCCAGUAGUGGGGGAUAGCUCGGCGAAAGCCGGAUUAAUACCGCAUACGACCUGAGGGUGAAAGCGGGGGAUCUUCGGACCUCGCGCUAUUUGAUCGGCCGAUGGCAGAUUAGCUAGUUGGUGGGGUAAAGGCCUACCAAGGCGACGAUCUGUAGCUGGUCUUAGAGGACGACCAGCCACACUGGGACUGAGACACGGCCCAGACUCCUACGGGAGGCAGCAGUGGGGAAUUUUGGACAAUGGGCGAAAGCCUGAUCCAGCAAUGCCGCGUGUGUGAUGAAGGCCUUAGGGUUGUAAAGCACUUUUGGCGGGAACGAAAAGGACUGUGCCAAUACCACGGUUCGAUGACGGUACCCGCAGAAUAAGCACCGGCUAACUACGUG
Molecule: ribosomal RNA, 484 nt
Filed under: uncultured bacterium
Lineage: Bacteria
Description: partial 16S ribosomal RNA
Rfam family: Bacterial small subunit ribosomal RNA
Source: RNAcentral